UUUUUUUUUUUUAUUUAUUUUAAUUUUUUUUUUUUUUGGGGGGCAAGUGGAAAGCAUCAGCUUGACCUCUCAGUUCAUCACUUAUGUCUAAUCCAUAGUGGCAAUAGGUCUGAUUUCAAACCCGUAUAGGCUAUAGCUCACACUGCUUACACCAGGUCAAUUUUUGCAACCCAAAACAGAAUGCGAGAGACAAUCAACAUUACUAACGCUAGCAUAAGAAACCUUUGAUGCCCAACAACCACUACCGGAUUAGAUCAACCCAUCAAUAACCUUUUACAGGAUAAUGCAGCAUAACAUCCAACCUCAAGAAACCAAAACAUUGUGUAUCAAACAUCAACAACAGAUCUACAUACUGAACCAUUUUCAACACAAAAGUCGGAACAAGUUAAAGAGCUCCAGUGUAAAAGCGUAAAUGAAAAAUCAUACUCAAAAUUGAAAACCAUCUACAAAUUGACUUCACACAAGUAUAUGAACACUGUUAACACCAAAAUUCUCUUAAAAUUGAAGAUUUCAUAGCCAAAAAGAGGGGAUUUGGGGAGAAGAAAAAGAAGCUCAAAACAACAGAGCUAAUAACCAAAUCAUUACUUACAGUUUUGCAGUGAAUGUAUAGCUCAAAAUUGCGGC
RNAcentral lists this unclassified non-coding RNA (624 nucleotides) under Hevea brasiliensis (rubber tree). The record is from RNAcentral. Lineage: Eukaryota; Viridiplantae; Streptophyta; Magnoliopsida; Malpighiales; Euphorbiaceae.